Molecule: ribosomal RNA, 903 nt
Filed under: Bolivina sp.
Lineage: Eukaryota; Foraminifera; Rotaliida; Bolivinitidae
Description: SSU rRNA
Source: RNAcentral
AAGGGCACCCACAAGAACGCGUGGAGCAUGUGGCUUAAUUUGACUCAACGCGGGAAAUCUUACCGGGUCCGGACACACUGAGGAUUGACAGGUAACAUCGAAUAUAUACUCUCUCUCUCUCUCGAGUUGAGAGUUGUGUAUUUUCGUAUAAAUAUGCUAGUCCUUUCAUGAUUAUGUGAUAGGUGGUGCAUGGCCGUUCUUAGUUCGUGGAGUGAUCUGUCUGCUUAAUUGCGUUUCACUAUUUGGGUCUAUACACUAUUAUUCUCAUCACACAACUGACCCUUUCCCUUCWUUUUUUUUUAAGCGAUUAUGAUUGUGCGUCUUAUUGUGUAUARAAUAUAAWARACCCUGAAAGCAACRAACGUGACCGCAUCCUCUUGUUGYUUUCAUCACACAUACAACAAUCUCAUGCUUCUGUGUGAUAUUGGUGUAUAARAAAGCCUCGUAUACAUACAUCGCGUGCUGUAUAUUUUAUUGCAGGCAUUCACGUGUCUUGUAUAUAAUUUAUUGCAUGUUACGUGAUAUUCAUAUGUAUAAAACUAGAGGGACCGCUGUUAUCUUCUUAAACCAGAGGAAGGUUGCGGCAAUAACAGGUCUGUGAUGCCCUUAGAUGUUCCGGGCUGCACACGUGCUACAAUGAUUAUUGCAGUGAGCAUCUCAUUUACGCUAUACAUCGCAUGUGUCGAUUAUUAUCAUUAUCAUUAUGACUUUCACGAGUCACUAUGUGUAAUGUGUAAUGUGUCUGACACGCGAUUAAGCCUACUUUGAAAGUAAGCGGGUAAUCAAUUAGAAGUAGUGAUUUCCUUAUUUUUCUGCACAAUUAUAUAUGGCAUAUAUACCCGGCGUACCUUUGUUGUACGUUCUUUGUGUGUAUAUAUGUGGCUAUAUAUAUUUAUGCUUUAU